Molecule: ribosomal RNA, 571 nt
Filed under: Trichoderma hamatum
Lineage: Eukaryota; Fungi; Ascomycota; Sordariomycetes; Hypocreales; Hypocreaceae
Description: eukaryotic LSU rRNA
Rfam family: 5.8S ribosomal RNA (bases 179-332)
Source: RNAcentral
UUUACAACUCCCAAACCCAAUGUGAACGUUACCAAACUGUUGCCUCGGCGGGGUCACGCCCCGGGUGCGUAAAAGCCCCGGAACCAGGCGCCCGCCGGAGGAACCAACCAAACUCUUUCUGUAGUCCCCUCGCGGACGUAUUUCUUACAGCUCUGAGCAAAAAUUCAAAAUGAAUCAAAACUUUCAACAACGGAUCUCUUGGUUCUGGCAUCGAUGAAGAACGCAGCGAAAUGCGAUAAGUAAUGUGAAUUGCAGAAUUCAGUGAAUCAUCGAAUCUUUGAACGCACAUUGCGCCCGCCAGUAUUCUGGCGGGCAUGCCUGUCCGAGCGUCAUUUCAACCCUCGAACCCCUCCGGGGGAUCGGCGUUGGGGAUCGGGACCCCUCACCGGGUGCCGGCCCUGAAAUACAGUGGCGGUCUCGCCGCAGCCUCUCCUGCGCAGUAGUUUGCACAACUCGCACCGGGAGCGCGGCGCGUCCACGUCCGUAAAACACCCAACUUCUGAAAUGUUGACCUCGGAUCAGGUAGGAAUACCCGCUGAACUUAAGCAUAUCAAUAAGCGGAGGAAAGAAA